Molecule: non-coding RNA, 509 nt
Organism: Macaca mulatta (Rhesus monkey)
Lineage: Eukaryota; Metazoa; Chordata; Mammalia; Primates; Cercopithecidae
Source: RefSeq, a predicted model, not a curated record
GCUCUUUCUACCACAACAGGUUACUUUGCACUCGGGGACAGUUUUCAACUUUACAUUCUCAACUCCUAUCCUAGCUCCUGGCACAGAACAUGUCAUUCAAGUUAGGCAUCAUUUGUCCCCUGCUCUUGGUAAAGUUUUCUUUUGCGGACUGCAGAGAAAUGCGCUCAUUAGCAAGUGGAGAUCGAGACGCUGAAACGCAAAGGAUUUGAGACUGAGCGGCUCCCAUCUCUAUGGUUGGUAUGUGAUCCAUCUAUCCUCUGGAGGAUUCAGCAAGGACUAUCAAUCACCAGACAACUUUACUGCACGUGCUCGCAAGUUGAACUUGCUAUUGGUUAGUGGCAGUAAAGCCCGCCUACCAGCUCUGGUCGGCUCCUUUAAGAGAAAGCCAUCGCCAUUCUUCAGCCUUUCACCGCCUACAGAUUCCGGGAGCUCCCAGCCGAGGACGUCGGGUCUUAUCGUCCUUGCUGUUUUGCCACCCCAUUCCUCUCAAUAAAGUGGUUUGAACCCAA